RNAcentral lists this long non-coding RNA (204 nucleotides) under Setaria italica (foxtail millet). Its description in RNAcentral is "long non-coding RNA (SITA_LNC005713)". The record is from RNAcentral. Lineage: Eukaryota; Viridiplantae; Streptophyta; Magnoliopsida; Poales; Poaceae.
UCGCCGUUAUGUUUUUGGCUGUCUUCAGUUUUGCGACAGCAGCCAGCGGCAGACCAUUUUCCUGGGCCGAUUCUUGCUUUUGGUUCAAGCGCCUGGCAGCAGCAGAUUCUGGGCUUCGGCCUGUUUUUUUUUUGUUUUGUUUCCUUCGCGCCAGCUCUUUUUCUUUGCAGCCCAUCGCAACUUCCUGGGAGCCCAGCUCUGUUU